RNAcentral lists this ribosomal RNA (253 nucleotides) under uncultured bacterium. RNAcentral describes it as "partial 16S ribosomal RNA". It matches the Rfam family "Bacterial small subunit ribosomal RNA", at positions 524 to 776 of the family's 1533-position model. The record is from RNAcentral.
UACGGAGGGGGCUAGCGUUGUUCGGAAUUACUGGGCGUAAAGAGCUCGUAGGCGGCUUGUCACGUCGGAUGUGAAAGCCCGGGGCUUAACCCCGGGUCUGCAUUCGAUACGGGCAGGCUAGAGUGUGGUAGGGGAGAUCGGAAUUCCUGGUGUAGCGGUGAAAUGCGCAGAUAUCAGGAGGAACACCGGUGGCGAAGGCGGAUCACUGGGCCAUUACUGACGCUGAGGAGCGAAAGCGUGGGGAGCGAACAGG